RNAcentral lists this ribosomal RNA (379 nucleotides) under Yersinia ruckeri. Its description in RNAcentral is "bacterial SSU rRNA". It matches the Rfam family "Bacterial small subunit ribosomal RNA", at positions 63 to 446 of the family's 1533-position model. Lineage: Bacteria; Pseudomonadati; Pseudomonadota; Gammaproteobacteria; Enterobacterales; Yersiniaceae. The record is from RNAcentral.
UCAGCGGAAAGAGCUUGCUACUUUGCCGGCGAGCGGCGGACGGGUGAGUAAUGUCUGGGGAUCUGCCUGAUGGAGGGGGAUAACUACUGGAAACGGUAGCUAAUACCGCAUAACCUCGCAAGAGCAAAGUGGGGGACCUUCGGGCCUCACGCCAUCGGAUGAACCCAGAUGGGAUUAGCUAGUAGGUGGGGUAAUGGCUCACCUAGGCGACGAUCCCUAGCUGGUCUGAGAGGAUGACCAGCCACACUGGAACUGAGACACGGUCCAGACUCCUACGGGAGGCAGCAGUGGGGAAUAUUGCACAAUGGGCGCAAGCCUGAUGCAGCCAUGCCGCGUGUGUGAAGAAGGCCUUCGGGUGUAAAGCACUUCAGCAGAAGCG